AUUGAACGCUGGCGGCAUGCCUUACACAUGCAAGUCGAACGGCAGCACGGGUGCUUGCCCCUGGUGGUGAGUGGCGAACGGGUGAGUAAUACAUCGGAACAUGUCCUGUAGUGGGGGAUAGCCCGGCGAAAGCCGGAUUAAUACCGCAUACGAUCUACGGAUGAAAGCGGGGGACCUUCGGGCCUCGCGCUAUAGGGUUGGCCGAUGGCUGAUUAGCUAGUUGGUGGGGUAAAGGCCUACCAAGGCGACGAUCAGUAGCUGGUCUGAGAGGACGACCAGCCACACUGGGACUGAGACACGGCCCAGACUCCUACGGGAGGCAGCAGUGGGGAAUUUUGGACAAUGGGCGAAAGCCUGAUCCAGCAAUGCCGCGUGUGUGAAGAAGGCCUUCGGGUUGUAAAGCACUUUUGUCCGGAAAGAAAUCCUUGGCCCUAAUACGGUCGGGGGAUGACGGUACCGGAAGAAUAAGCACCGGCUAACUACGUG
RNAcentral lists this ribosomal RNA (486 nucleotides) under uncultured bacterium. Its description in RNAcentral is "partial 16S ribosomal RNA". It matches the Rfam family "Bacterial small subunit ribosomal RNA", at positions 30 to 507 of the family's 1533-position model. The record is from RNAcentral.